AAGACUAUACUUUCAGGAAUCAUUUCUAUAGUUUGUUACUAGAGGACAACUUUUGGGAGUCUGUUUUUUCAGAUUCUCAGUCUUGAUGGCAAUUUUUUACCAAGCUUUCUCAUUGGUCCUACAUUGAUCUUAGAGCC
Molecule: small nucleolar RNA, 137 nt
Gene: U3
Rfam family: Small nucleolar RNA U3
About the family: Small nucleolar RNAs (snoRNAs) are involved in the processing and modification of rRNA in the nucleolus. There are two main classes of snoRNAs: the box C/D class, and the box H/ACA class. U3 snoRNA is a member of the box C/D class.
Source: Ensembl